RNAcentral lists this ribosomal RNA (832 nucleotides) under uncultured bacterium. RNAcentral's name for it is "bacterial SSU rRNA". It matches the Rfam family "Bacterial small subunit ribosomal RNA", at positions 97 to 926 of the family's 1533-position model. The record is from RNAcentral.
GGCGAACGGGUGAGUAACACGUGGGUGAUCUGCCCUGCACUUUGGGAUAAGCCUGGGAAACUGGGUCUAAUACCGGAUAGGACCGCAUGCUGCAUGGUGUGUGGUGGAAAGUUUUUAACGGUGUGGGAUGGGCCCGCGGCCUAUCAGCUUGUUGGUGGGGUGAUGGCCUACCAAGGCGACGACGGGUAGCCGGCCUGAGAGGGUGUCCGGCCACACUGGGACUGAGAUACGGCCCAGACUCCUACGGGAGGCAGCAGUGGGGAAUAUUGCACAAUGGGCGCAAGCCUGAUGCAGCGACGCCGCGUGGGGGAUGACGGCCUUCGGGUUGUAAACCUCUUUCACCAUCGACGAAGCCGCAGGUUUUCUUGUGGUGACGGUAGGUGGAGAAGAAGCACCGGCCAACUACGUGCCAGCAGCCGCGGUAAUACGUAGGGUGCGAGCGUUGUCCGGAAUUACUGGGCGUAAAGAGCUCGUAGGUGGUUUGUCGCGUUGUUCGUGAAAUCUCACGGCUUAACUGUGAGCGUGCGGGCGAUACGGGCAGACUGGAGUACUGCAGGGGAGACUGGAAUUCCUGGCGUAGCGGUGGAAUGCGCAGAUAUCAGGAGGAACACCGGUGGCGAAGGCGGGUCUCUGGGCAGUAACUGACGCUGAGGAGCGAAAGCGUGGGGAGCGAACAGGAUUAGAUACCCUGGUAGUCCACGCCGUAAACGGUGGGUACUAGGUGUGGGUUUCCUUCCUUUGGGAUCCGUGCCGUAGCUAACGCAUUAAGUACCCCCGCCUGGGGAGUACGGCCGCAAGGCUAAAACUCAAAGGAUUUGACGGGGGCCCGCAC